GUUGAUCCUGCGGGAGGUCGCUGCUAUCAGAAUUCGAUUCAACUAAGCUAGUUCAGGGGCUCUUCGGAGCACCGGCAGACAGUUCCGUAACACGUCGUUAAUCUACCCUUGAGCCUGGGAUAACCUCGGGAAACUGAGGCUAACACCGGAUAGAAGAAGAACACUGGAAUGUAUUUUCUUCCAAAGAUUACACUCAAGGAUGAGAUGGCGCCCGAUUAGGUUGUUGGUGGGGUAAUGGCCCACCAAGCCCGAGAUCGGUAGGGGCCUUGGAAGAGGUAGCCUCGAGGAGGACACUGAGAUAAGGGUCCUGACUCUACGGAGUAUAGCAAGUGCGAAAACUUUACACUACACGAAAGUGUGAUAAGGGAAUUCUGAGUGCUCAUGCGUUGCAUGGGCUUUUGUCAAGAGUAAAAAUCUUGGAGAAUAAGUGGUGGGCAAGACUGGUGCCAGCAGCCGCGGUAACACCAGCGCCACUAGUGGGGACCGCAAUUAUUGGGCCUAAAGCGUUCGUAGCUGGUUCAGAAAAUCUCCUGUGAAAUUGUCGUGCUCAACGCGACAGCGUGCAGAAGACACUACUGGACUUGAGACCGGGAGGAGUCAGAGGUAUUCUCGGGGUAGCGGUAAAAUGCUAUAAUCCCGAGCAGACCACCUGUGGCGAAGGCGUCUGACUAGAACGGGUCUGACAGUGAGGAACGAAGGCCAGGGGAGCGAACCGGAUUAGAUACCCGAGUAGUCCUGGCAGUAAACGCUGCGAGCUAGGUGUUGCACAUUCUUCGAGAAUGUGCAGUGUCGGAGCGAAGGUGUUAAGCUCGCCGCCUGGGUAGUACGGUCGCAAGGCUGAAACUUAAAGGAAUUGGCGGGGGAGCACAACAAGGGGUGCGGCGUGCGGUUUAAUCCAACUCAACACGGAGAAUCUCACCAGAAGCGACGGCAGGAUGAAAGUCAGGUUGAAGACCUUACUUAACAAGCCGAGAGGUGGUGCAUGGCCGUCGUCAGCUCGUGCCGUAAGGUGUCCUGUUAAGUCAGGCAACGAGCGAGACCUGUACCUACAAUUGCUAGCAACUCUAUUCAGAGGAUUGAGCACAUUGUAGGAACUGCCCUGGAAACGGGGAGGAAGGUGCAGGCAACGGUAGGUCUGUAUGCCCCUAAUCCUCUGGGCUACACGCGCGCAACAAUGGUAGGGACAAUGGGAUACAACUCCGAAAGGAGAAGUUAAACCUCAAAACCCUAUCCCAGUCCAGAUUGAGGAUUGUAACUCAUCCUCAUGACGCCGGAAUCCCUGGUAAUCAGAUGUUAGCAUCGUCUGGUGAAUAUGUCCCUGCUCCUUGCACACACCGCCCGUCAAGCCACCCGAGCAGGCUUCAGGUAAAACUCGAUCUCUUAAUCAAGUUGAAUCUGGGGUCAGUGAGGUGGGCUAAGUCGUCACAAGGUA
This 1432-nucleotide ribosomal RNA is filed under the name metagenome. RNAcentral's name for it is "bacterial SSU rRNA". It matches the Rfam family "Archaeal small subunit ribosomal RNA". The record is from RNAcentral.